Molecule: ribosomal RNA, 500 nt
Filed under: uncultured bacterium
Lineage: Bacteria
Description: partial 16S ribosomal RNA
Rfam family: Bacterial small subunit ribosomal RNA
Source: RNAcentral
AUUGAACGCUGGCGGAAUGCUUUACACAUGCAAGUCGAACGGCAGCACGGACUUCGGUCUGGUGGCGAGUGGCGAACGGGUGAGUAACAUAUCGGAACGUAUCCAAUAAUGGGGGAUGACGAGUCGAAAGAUUCGCUAAUACCGCAUACGCCCUACGGGGGAAAGCUGGGGACCUUCGGGCCUGGCGUUAAUGGAGCGGCCGAUAUCUGAUUAGCUAGUUGGUGAGGUAAAGGCUCACCAAGGCGACGCUCAGUAGCUGGUCUGAGAGGACGACCAGCCACACUGGAACUGAGACACGGUCCAGACUCCUACGGGAGGCAGCAGUGGGGAAUUUUGGACAAUGGGCGCAAGCCUGAUCCAGCCAUUCCGCGUGAGUGAAGAAGGCCUUCGGGUUGUAAAGCUCUUUCGCAAGGGAAGAAAACUUAGCCACUAACAUUGGUUGAGGUUGACGGUACCUUGAUAAGAAGCACCGGCUAACUACGUGCCAGCAGCCGCCGUAA